This 689-nucleotide ribosomal RNA is filed under the name uncultured Tomentella/Thelophora. RNAcentral's name for it is "eukaryotic LSU rRNA". The stretch from base 237 to 391 matches the Rfam family "5.8S ribosomal RNA". The record is from RNAcentral. Lineage: Eukaryota; Fungi; Basidiomycota; Agaricomycetes; Thelephorales; Thelephoraceae.
UCCGUAGGUGAACCUGCGGAAGGAUCAUUACUGAGUUGUCGAAACGAGUUGUUGCUGGCCCUCCAAACGGGGGGCAUGUGCACACUCUGUUCACACAUCCACUCACACCUGUGCACCCUCUGUAGUUCUAUGGUCUGGAAGGUGCGUGCCGUCUUCCUCCUGUAGUUCUAUGUCUUUACACACACACCAUAGUGAAGUCUUACGGAAUGUGCGCAGCGUUUAACGCAAUAUAAUACAACUUUCAGCAACGGAUCUCUUGGCUCUCGCAUCGAUGAAGAACGCAGCGAAAUGCGAUAAGUAAUGUGAAUUGCAGAAUUCAGUGAAUCAUCGAAUCUUUGAACGCACCUUGCGCCCCUUGGCCAUUCCGAGGGGCAUGCCUGUUUGAGUAUCAUGAACACCUCAACCCUCACGGUUUGCCGUGAUGGGCUUGGACUUUGGGGGUUUUGCUGACCCUGUGGUUGGCUCCUCUCAAAUGAAUCAGCUUACCAGUGUUUGGUGGCGUCACGGGUGUGAUAACUGUCUACGCUCAUGAUCGUCUGCCAGGUGGCCUUCAGCGAUGAAGGUUUGCUGGAGCUUACAAACGUCUCCCCUUGGUGGAGACAGAUUUUUGAACGUUCGAUCUCAAAUCAGGUAGGGUUACCCGCUGAACUUAAGCAUAUCAAUAAGCGGAGGAAAAGAAACCAACCAAU